UUGCAAGAGAUGGUAUGCAAUCGAUAACAGUUUGGAUUAGUGAUAGCUACAGUGGGGCAAAAGCAAACACCCACUGCAGACAAGACCCAGCUGAGAUCUAUGAGGCAUUUAAAGUGGGCCAUGCUUUAUUGGUAAGGCAGGUCAAUCAACAUGUAAUUAAUUUUAAUUAGCACUUCGUUAAACUCUUCACAUGCAGCCAGCUGUUAGCUCCACCAGCAGCAGAAAACACCAUGGCAGCUGCUGUAUGUUGACUCCAGUGAAGCAGCUCUUCAGGAGGCCAUGAGUAAGCUGGGAAAUGCAGGAUCUCUGCAGGAUUGCAGGAGAUAUUUCAUGGCUUGCUGAAAGUUUGCUGAGAUGCAUUAAUCAGAUAAAUGAAGUUGAAAGUCUAUUGCUAAGGUAUGAAAGAGAAGAGAAACCCUUAAACAAACCAAGCUGAAAUGAAAAAGCCAGGGUUCAGGGCCCAGAUGAGCUUGGAAAGAAGAAUGAAGUUAAAAGGCGUAUUGAGUGAGAUCUAUUUCACCACCUUUUUUAUUCACUUACCAGCACCUACACAAUGACUAGUUAAAAUCCUCACGGGGAUAACUGCUGCAUAGAUUAUUAUUUUUUUUCUGGCAGCUAAAGUGAAAUUUUAUUGAUUUGACAGCAUCUCAUAUAAAUCACACACGGAUCUAGAAUACAAGAUUUCACUGACAAAAACUGCAGUUUGAGGGGAACUUGGACAACUACAUCAAUAGUGACUGAUACAGCUGAAUAUCCAGAAGGAAACUAUAAGGCAGUAAAAAGCUUCUCUGGGAAUUCAGAGGAUCGGUAUAUGAGGAAAUAAAGGAUAAAUGUAAAUUUUACAUUUCAUGGUGCAUGGAAAUCAGCUGAAACAAUGAAUUUGUUCAGUUUUGAAAUUUCACAUUUGCUUAUUUGCUCAAAAAGAUUGUAAAGAAUUGUCCAUGGGUACUUGAAAUACAGCCUGAAAGUAUGUCCUAGUACCAGCAAUGUGGACUUCUGUAAGUUUUGUGUUAUACUGUGCGAGACCCAGGCAAGAAGAGAAUCCUUUUAGGCAUGGUUCAAUGGGGAAUAGAAGAUGACCUAUAUUUGGAAGAGCUUACUCUGUGUUAAGGAAUCAUUUUUCUUUGCCAUUUGGCUUAAUGAAGUCUAUAAAUUUUUGGAGAAUUGAUCUUAAUUUAAAAUGUGAACAAUUGAGACUUCUGAAAUGAAUACAGUGGAUUACCUGAUAAUACAUGUUUUGGACACUGUGUGUUUAUUCAACAGGAAUUCUAAGCAUGACAAACCACUAUUAUGACCACACCUUUCUGCAUAAUAUUAAUUAGCCCUCACAACAAACUAAAACCUCCCCUGCUUCGGCAGUCUGACACACACCAUCUCAAAGAUGGUAAUAACUUACAAGUGGUAAAGAAACACCAUUCAUGUAGUGGUUGGUCUCUAGACAGUUAACCUGAAGACAAACUGUUCCUAGCUUGCUUUUGUGUAUGUGUAUCUUCUUCUUUCCUCAUCUCUUUUAAUGCAAGGGUGAUUGGAGCAGAAUAAACUGCAUUAGGUACAUAAUCCAGCCUGCUGUAAACAUCCAAAUUGUCUAAAAAAUAUGUACAUUUUUGUCAUUUUCUAACAAAUAUUUUUUCAUUUGGAUUGCAUUUUUUCACAAAAAUUUUGGGCAUAUUCACACAAAAAUUGGUAUAUUACAAGUGCAAGAAAAGCCAGUAAUUCAGAAGAAUUCAAACGUUUUCUCCACAGUGCUGAAACCAUCUGACCACAGCUGCUCAUGAUUACCAGAGCAGAGACUGAACAUGGAGACUCAGAGCUCACAGUGAUGAAACCUCCUUCUUCCUUCAUCAAACGCUGCAGAAACUCAUCGACUUCUUGGAGUGAAGGAGGAGAAAGCUGUAAUGAGAGAAUUCACUUAAUUUAGAUGACAUUAUUUGCUCUCCUUGGAUUUGUUCACCUAAGCGUUAACUUGUGAAUCCAUCUUAUUUAGGCUGUUUGUUUUUUGCCAUUAGUUGUAGGAACACUUUUCAACUGCCACUGUUGUAGAGGGUAACAUUUGUAUAUAGUGAAUGGAAGCUUAGCAAGUGCAAAUCAUCCUCUACCCUGGAGAAGUAAAAAUGAUGAUUCCUGAAGCACACAGAUGGCUUUUUAUCUUCAGGGAAAUACCAAGCAACUCUCUUCGCUCAGGCCUCUGAUGCCGUUAAUGCUCAUAAUUAUUAUAUGUUUUCAUAACAGCAUAUUAAGUUUUUUCUUCUUUAUGAGCAUUUUCAUUAGCCUUUGUUUAGUUCCUAAAAUGAACCCAUGUUCAUUUUCAUUUGCUGCCCCAUUUUCAGAACCUUUCUUGUCAUUUGCAACUGCCAGCGGGUUGCUUUGUUUUAACCUAGGGCAAAUGUCUGCUGGGCCACACCACCUCCCCAAGGACUCUGGAGACCAAAGUUCUGGGGGUUGUAAGCCUGUCUGGCACCCAGGAGUGGCUAAGAGUUCCUUUGUAGUCAAGGUUGGACAGACAGGUGCCCCCAGAUUACCUGUACCUAAAAGGCUGUUUGUUCCCAGGACCUUUACCUGCUGGUGUCUGGACUUAAAAAAAAAAAAAAAAAAGAUUAAAGAGUGAACAUAAUGUCUCCCUUCUGAGAUAUCUAGAUGGAGUAUGAAUUUAGUUUAUUUUCCAUGCACCAUCAAGACAUAUUCAGAGUCCUAUCAGAUAUACUGUAUACACACCUUAUGGGAGUCUCCAGAGUAAUGCAAACCCAGGGGCUUCCAUAUGAAAGCAGAAGAAACAUUCAGAAAGACAAUGUUUCAGCCUAUCAGUCUUGAUAAAGGCCCAGAUGGGUAAAAAUGUCAGCUUUAUGUGUGUUCCAGCCACUCUCAAUCAAUCAACUUUCUUAUGUAGGUUAUUGAGUGUAUCUUCCCCAAAGCAUUGAGGGCUUUAAAUCUUGUACCCAGACUGAUGCCAUUAUUUUCAUGAUAAAAUUGAUCCAGGAAGACAUCAACUUUCAUUUUCAUGGUACCAGUCUGGUGGGGUUGUACUUUUCAGCUCAAUGGUUCUGGAAAUCCACAUUGCAGUGGCAAUGUAUUAAAUUGAUUCUCUUUCUUGAUAUAUCACUAGUGCUACAGAGGAAGAGUGGGAUUUUUUUCCUUUUUGCCCACGUUUGGUGUAGUGCAACUAAGCUGCUCAAAAAUAGUGGGAUUAAAUAAUUUUUCAACAAGAUCUUAAAGUGGGUGCGAUCAAUGAAUUAUAAUUAAACCAAUGUAUUAUUAAGCGCUCUGAAAAUAUUCAAGGAUGUGGGGGAACUAACAUUUUAAAACCCAAUAUAAUAAGCACAACUUCCCUAUUUAUGUGUUUUUUCCCACUGAUUCUGUUCCUUUAUUUUCUCUUGGAAUUUCUUCCUCUAUUCCUAUAGUCUCUACUGAUAUCAUGUAUGUGUAACAUCUCAUAAAUUAUUUUUGCCUCCUUCCCUUCUUUACCAAGUUCUUUCAAAACUCUCCUCAUCAUCUCCCACCUCUUGCCUAUCCCAAGCAGAUUUCAUCUGCCAGGUUGUCCUGUCCUUGGAUCCUUCAGUACUUCUCUAAAUUCACAUACAAUAGCAAUAUGGCCCUAGGUAUCACAAAAGUGAAGUACUGGACAAAAUCACUAAAUGUUUCAGCUGCAUGAGAGGAAAUGAAAGAAAAUCUGCAAGCAGAAAACAACCUCUGUUGAGAGGAGCAGAAGUUCGAGUACAGUGUCAUUCAGUCAGAGAGUGGUGGUUUGCAUAGUGUGAGGGCUCCAUGGCAGCCAAGAGGCGUGCUAGGGUGGGAAAGGCAGACAGCUGCUCUUGAUGGUAUCAUGCAUCUCAAAGCCCCUGGGGAUUUUAAGGCCAUUCUUUAUAUCCAUCUUCUUGUUAGAUACUGAAAUAACCUCUUCUGUGACAUUUGCUGAACUUGAGGAGUUUUCCCACAGAUUGAAACCUUCACUGAUCCAUAGGGAGCUGGUCAAUGCGUGGUAUCUUGCUUUUACCUGCAAUCUCAUCUGUGCUAUCCAGAUUCCUCUUCAGGAAAUGACUUUAAAAUUAAAUACAUUCUAACAUUUUAAAAAAUUUUUGAGAGUGUGAUAAGAAUAAAUACGUGCCUCUGUA
Coturnix japonica (Japanese quail) is the source of this 4106-nucleotide long non-coding RNA. RefSeq lists it as uncharacterized. The record is from RefSeq and is a predicted model, not a curated record. NCBI's taxonomy places the organism in Eukaryota, Metazoa, Chordata, Aves, Galliformes, Phasianidae.